RNAcentral lists this transfer RNA (60 nucleotides) under Sinohyriopsis schlegelii. RNAcentral describes it as "tRNA-Lys". The record is from RNAcentral. Lineage: Eukaryota; Metazoa; Mollusca; Bivalvia; Unionida; Unionidae.
GAUGGCCGAGACACAGGCAUCGAGCUUUUAACUCGAUUACAGUCACUGAACUUCAGGAUA